UUAGUUUAUAUUGAAUUUAACGUUUGUGUGAAAAGGCAUAAAUGAUUUAGAGGGACGAUAAGACCCUAUAAAACUUUACAUGUUGAUAUUAUCUAGUGAAAUUGUUAAGUGAAGAUUAUUAUAUGGUUGAUUGUGUUUUGCUGGGGCGGCAGGAAUAUAAUGGUUAACUGUUUUAAAAAUUAAAUAUUUAUUAAUAGAAGAUGGUCCUUUAUUUAAGAGGUAAGAGUAAGUUACUUUAGGGAUAACAGCAUAAUUUCUUUUGAGAGUUCAUAUCGAAGAUGAUAGUUGUGACCUCGAUGUUGAAUUAAAUUUUCUUUUAGGUGUAGAAGUUUAAAGGGAGGGCCUGUUCGGCCUAUAAGUAUUUACGUGAUCUGAGUUCAGA
RNAcentral lists this ribosomal RNA (382 nucleotides) under Synalpheus mcclendoni. RNAcentral's name for it is "partial 16S ribosomal RNA". It matches the Rfam family "Bacterial large subunit ribosomal RNA", at positions 2046 to 2615 of the family's 2925-position model. The record is from RNAcentral. Lineage: Eukaryota; Metazoa; Arthropoda; Malacostraca; Decapoda; Alpheidae.